ACACUGAACUUGAAAUGGAAAGAACUUGAAGAACAUUUCCAUGGGCUUGAAAGAUCCUUGAAAAGGCGCUUUCAUGAGUUAGAAGACCAGGAGAAAGAGUAUGAAACCAAAACAAGAAAAGCCCAAGAAUUGUUGGAGAAGCGGGAAGCUGCUGUGGUUGCCAAGGAACAAGCUUCACUGGAGAGGCUCCAGGAGAAAAGAGAUGCUGCUGUCUUUGCCAUUACUAAUGCUCUAGAGAAGCACAGGAAGGUAUCACCUGUGGAACCUGCUGUUGUAACCAUUGAUGUGCAAGGUGAGCCCCCAACUGUUGAAGACCAACCAGCUGAUACUAUGGCUGCUGAAAGUAAUUUGGAAGAGAGUAAUAAUUCUUCUGAAAAUGGAAAUGUGGAGGUGAUAUCUUAUCCAGAGUUGGUCAAACUAUGUGAAGUAAUGGACUCAGAAGGGCUGCACAAAUUUAUAUCAGAUAAUAGAAAGAACCUUGCUGUCCUGAGGGAGGAAAUUCCACUUGCCUUAAAAGCUGCAGAAAACCCAGCGCAACUGGUCUUGAACUCGUUGGAAGAUUUCUAUCCCAUGGAAGUGCC
RNAcentral lists this long non-coding RNA (581 nucleotides) under Manihot esculenta (cassava). RNAcentral's name for it is "long non-coding RNA (MESC_LNC007004)". The record is from RNAcentral. Lineage: Eukaryota; Viridiplantae; Streptophyta; Magnoliopsida; Malpighiales; Euphorbiaceae.